ACACACACACACACACACAAAAUCACUACCGCACUCUCAGUCUCAGUCAUGUAAAUUGCUGAAGUCAGAGCCGCUACCCCUUUUUCAGUAGUUCCGUCUUCUCUCUUGCUGUGUUUGCAUAGACCAGGAUUAAAAGGAAGUCUACAAAAACUUUGCUUAGGAAGGUGGGGGGAGAGAGGACCCGCAAGGAGAUCGUACUUGGAGUUUCAGGAGGAGGUUUUUCUCCUGUUGUGAAGUUUGCUCCAGGGGCUGUCUGCCUGAAGCCAUGGGGGUGGUGAGAGGUGUUGACAGAGCUGGAGGGAGCAGAAAAGCACUUUGAAAGGAAGACUAACAUGUUUUUUGUUCUUUUUUUUUUUUCCCUAAGCAAUUUUGCUGUAUGAGCGAAAGAACUACAACUGGAUCAUUUAGAUUCCUCCCCAUGGAUUUCAGAGGGCAACCCUGCUCUGAAGCCUUUGAGACUCCAGAGGAAUAGAUAUCACACACACAAACUCUCACACACGCUCGUGGGAGUUAAUAGCUGCAUGAAGCAACAUGGAAGCACUGAGAGAGUCUCUUCUUAAUUUGACUUUUCAGAUGUCCACGUACAGGAGAGCCACCCUGGAUGAGGAGGACCUGGUGGACUCCACCAGCGAUGAUUUCUACCCGUCAGCUCCCAUGCAGGUGAAUUUGCUGCACGGCCGUUCCUCGUGUUGGCCGAGCAGGACACAGACAGAGAGGAGGCUGAUGUGUUUGGUGUGUGUCCUGACAGUGGGUCUGUUUGUAACUCUCAUCACGACAGGGAUUUUCUACAAACAGAGUCACCCAGGCUUGUGCCUAACAGAGCCGUGCAUUACUGUGGCCAGUGCAGUUCUGGGAGCCCUGGACCGAUCCAUAGAUCCCUGCCAUGACUUCUAUAACUUUGCUUGUGGGGGCUGGAUAAAAAGCAACCCCCUCCCUGAGGGAAAGUCCCGCUGGGGCUCUUUCAGCAACUUGUGGGAGCACAACAUGCUUGUAAUGAAGCAGUUAUUAGAAAACACAACAAUGAAAGGCUUGAGCGAGGCUGAGGAGAAGGCCCGGCGAUAUUAUCAGGCCUGCAUGAAUGAGACCAAGAUUGAGGAAUUAGGAGCUAAGCCGCUGCAGCACCUAAUUAGUCAGAUCGGAGGAUGGGGUCUGACUGAACCCUGGGACAAGGACAACUUCCAAAAAGUUCUCCGAACAGUGUCUGCCAGCUUGCGCACCUCCCCUUUCUUCACUGUGUUUGUCAGCACAGACUCCAAAAACUCCAGUACUAACAUCAUCCAGGUGGAUCAAACCAGCCUGGGACUACCUUCACGUGAUUACUACCUCAACAAAACAGCAAAUAAAAAGUAUCUGACAGCGUACCUCAACUUCCUGGUGGAGUUGGGGGUUCUUCUGGGUGGCUCGCACGAGACUUCUCAAACCAUGAUGGAAGAAAUUGUGGACUUUGAAACCACCCUGGCCAACAUCACAGUCCCUCAGGAGGAGAGAAGAGAUGAGGAGCUCAUUUACCAUAAGAUGGAGGCCAGGGAGCUGGCAACUCUGGCUCCAGCAGUGGACUGGAUGCCGUUCCUCAGAGAAGUGUUUGCUCCUGUGUCACUUAACGAGUCAGAGCCAGUGGUGGUUUAUGCCAAAGAAUACCUCCAGAAAGUUUCUGAACUCAUAACUAAAACAAAUAAAAGCCUUCUCAACAACUACAUGAUGAUGAAAGUGGUGAGAAAGAUGGCUUCCAUUUUGGACCAAAGGUUCCAGGAUGCAGAGCAGCGAUUCCUUGAGGUCAUGUAUGGAACCAAGAAGAGCUGCAGUCCACGCUGGAAGCUGUGUGUCAGCGACACAGACAGCGCCUUGGGUUUUGCUCUUGGAGCCAUGUUUGUCAAAGCCACCUUUGCUGAGGACAGCAAAGCCAUUGCUGAGGAUAUGGUUACAGAAAUUAAACAGGCAUUUGAGGAUGGACUGAAGUAUGUGAGCUGGAUGGACACGGAAACAAAAAAGGCAGCUAAAGAAAAGGCAGAUGCAAUAUACAACAUGGUUGGGUAUCCUGAAUUUAUCAUGAACCCCACAAAGCUGGACAAAGUGUUCAAUGAUUUCUCCGUGGUGUCGUACUUGUACUUCCAGAAUGUCAUGCAGUACUACAACUUCUCAACCAGAGUGACUGCAGACCAGCUGAGGAAACCUCCCAACCGAAACCAGUGGAGCAUGACCCCUCCAACAGUAAAUGCCUACUACAAUCCAACGAAAAAUGAGAUGGUUCUGCCUGCAGGAAUCCUUCAAGUUCCAUUCUACGGUCGCUCCUGGCCUAAAGCACUCAGUUUUGGUGGAAUUGGAGUUGUCAUGGGCCAUGAACUGACUCACGCUUUUGAUGACCAAGGGAGGGAGUACGAUAAAGAUGGAAACCUGCGCCCGUGGUGGAAGAACUCCUCUGUGGAGGCCUUCAAGAAGCAGACCCAGUGCAUGGUGGAGCAAUACGGCAAUUACAGCAUCAACCAAGAGCCUCUGAAUGGACGACACACCCUGGGAGAAAACAUCGCCGACAACGGUGGACUCAAGGCUGCUUACAAGGUCAUAAGCUGUGAGGCAGAUGACCAAAACGAUAUGGAAGUAAAAGCGAUGCCCUGCUUAUGUGAACUGGAUUAAAAAGAAUGGCGAAGAGGCUGUGCUGCCAGCGCUGGGAAUGACAAACCAUCAGCUGUUUUUUGUAGGGUUUGCCCAGGUAUGGUGCUCUGUCAGGACACCCGAGAGCUCACAUGAGGGCGUUAUGACAGAUCCUCACAGUCCUCCAAGAUUCAGGGUCAUCGGAACGGUCUCAAAUUCACGUGAAUUCUCAAAGCACUUUGGAUGUAAAGCAGA
Molecule: RNA transcript, 2844 nt
Organism: Archocentrus centrarchus (flier cichlid)
Lineage: Eukaryota; Metazoa; Chordata; Actinopteri; Cichliformes; Cichlidae
Gene: ece1
Gene name: endothelin converting enzyme 1
Exons: 19
Source: RefSeq, a predicted model, not a curated record